UCCUGAGUGUACUUGCCGGAGGAAAGCGGAGGUGCCAAAGACUUGAAACCUCCUUCUUUUGGCAGGGCUCGGGUGGACACUUGAAGUCUGGAGAUCCUCUUUAAGAUUUGACUGCUCACCCCUUGAAAGACAAGUGUUGGCUGGAAAGAAAAGAUUGCUUUGUUCUGGAGGCUGGCAACCUGGAGAGAAGGCGGACUUCUAGAAGCUACUCCUAAGUGUUGCCCUUAGGAGCUGCCUGCUCCUCCGGUGGAGCCUGCCUGGCUACUGUUGGACCAGCUCUGUAUAGCUUUGGCUGUUACCCUGAUUCCUGGCCAGUCACUGGAUUCCAUGGCAGCAAGACCACAGGGCUGAAGAGCUUUGGGCCUGACAGUUUAUCUUCGAAGAGGAGGAAAUGGUAGCGGCAUUGUCAAGGAUGGAAGGAGGAGGG
Molecule: long non-coding RNA, 427 nt
Organism: Dama dama (fallow deer)
Lineage: Eukaryota; Metazoa; Chordata; Mammalia; Artiodactyla; Cervidae
Exons: 4
Source: RefSeq, a predicted model, not a curated record